AUUUUUAUAAUAAUUUAACAUCUGAUGACGACGAUGACAAGGAGGAGAUCCGGCAACAACGACGACGGCGAAAAGAUUCGAUGAUAAUGAGAAAAUCCGACGAGGAGUUGAGAGGGAAGAUAAAAAUAGAAUUAGAAUUAGAAUUUGGAGAGAAAAAAUUAUGAAAUAUGUAUAUGAUUAAUAUUAAAAAAUUAUAUAAUAUUUU
This 205-nucleotide long non-coding RNA is filed under the name Zostera marina. RNAcentral describes it as "long non-coding RNA (ZMAR_LNC001123)". Lineage: Eukaryota; Viridiplantae; Streptophyta; Magnoliopsida; Alismatales; Zosteraceae. The record is from RNAcentral.